AGAUGCUGAUAAUUGUAUAGUUAC
RNAcentral lists this non-coding RNA (24 nucleotides) under Arabidopsis thaliana (thale cress). The record is from RNAcentral. Lineage: Eukaryota; Viridiplantae; Streptophyta; Magnoliopsida; Brassicales; Brassicaceae.